Molecule: long non-coding RNA, 831 nt
Filed under: Marmota monax (woodchuck)
Lineage: Eukaryota; Metazoa; Chordata; Mammalia; Rodentia; Sciuridae
Source: RNAcentral
UUUAUCAGAAAUUCUACAUGAAAGGAAUCUCUGCCACCAUCUAGAAUCUGGGCAUGAGCAGAUUCUUGGAAAUCCAAUUGCCGGACAGUACAAACAUAUCUUUGAGAGUAUCUAUGACACAGGAACUAAGAUCUGCUCACAGGGUUUGUAUUCAGGUAAAUCCAAAUACAAAUGUGCAAGCGAUUAAAAUCACUGUCUCUUGGACCUGUCACAUAACACAUGUAAUAAAUCCAUGAGACCUGGAGUUGUGCAAGCAGCAUAGGAUGCCCUAGGGAUUGUGAUACUGGAAGAUAACUUUUUCUUGGCCUCAUUUCUUUAUCCCAAUUUCAUAUCAGUUGUUUUAGUCCAUUUGCCAUUGGUAUAAUGAAAUACCUGAGAUUGGGUAAUUUAUAAAGAAAAGAGAUAUAUUGAGAUCACAGUUUUGUAGUCUGAAAGUCCAACAUUAAGCAACUCUGUUUGGCUUCAGGUGAGGGCCUCAUGGCAGGUGGCAUUGCAAUAGUGGAACUGUGUGUGGAAAGGAUCAGUGUAAGAUAGGAAACCAAAGAGAUUCAGGGACCAGACUUUUUUUUUUUUUUUUAAUAAUAAUCCACUCUAAUUGGAGCCUUAGAGAACUAAUCUCAUGCAAGGGUGAUACCUCUAAUGACUUAAUUAACGCUUGCUAGGCCUCAUCUCUUUAAAAGUUUCACCAACUCUCAAUAUGGCCACAUAGGGACCAAGCUUCAAACACAGACUUUGGGGGACACAUUCAAACAAUAUCCAAAUGGUAGCUCUAUAUGUGGGACUAGAGUGAGAAUCCCUGCCUUGGGAGAACAGCCCUGGAUGGACCUCGAC